GAUCCUGGCUCAGAACGAACGCUGGUGGCGUGUCUUAUACAUGCAAGUCGAGCGAGGCAGCAAUGCCGAGCGGCGAACGGGUGAGUAACGCGUAAGCAAUCUGCCCCAUAUCAGGAAAUACCCGUGCCAACGCGCGGUUAAUGUCCAGGAGAGUGGCCUUCCGCAUGGAAGGUUGACUAGAGAUUUAUCGGUAUGGGAUGAGCUUGCGUCCGAUUAGCUAGUGGCGGGGCAACGGCCCACCAAGGCGACGAUCGGUAGCCGGCCUGAGAGGGUGAUCGGCCACAUUGGGACUGAGAUACGGCCCAGACUCCUACGGGAGGCAGCAGUAGGGAAUAUUGCACAAUGGGGGAAACCCUGAUGCAGCAACGCCACGUGUGGGAAGAAGCAUUUCGGUGUGUAAACCACUGUCAUGAGGGAAUAAGGCCCGCCUUCGGACGGACUUGAAUGUACCUUGAGAGGAAGCACCGGCAAACUUCGUGCCAGCCGCGGC
Molecule: ribosomal RNA, 490 nt
Filed under: uncultured bacterium
Lineage: Bacteria
Description: bacterial SSU rRNA
Rfam family: Bacterial small subunit ribosomal RNA
Source: RNAcentral